UGCAAGUCGUACGCGUUGGCCCAACUGAUUUGAAGUGCUUGCACGGAUCUGACGUUGGUUUACCAACGAGUGGCGGACGGGUGAGUAACACGUAGGUAACCUGCCCAGAAGCGGGGGACAACACUUGGAAACAGGUGCUAAUACCGCAUAACAAUUCAAAUCGCAUGAUUUGAAUUUAAAAGAUGGUUUCGGCUAUCACUUCUGGAUGGACCUGCGGCGCAUUAGCUUGUUGGUGGGGUAACGGCCUACCAAGGCAGUGAUGCGUAGCCGAGUUGAGAGACUGAUCGGCCACAAUGGGACUGAGACACGGCCCAUACUCCUACGGGAGGCAGCAGUAGGGAAUCUUCCACAAUGGGCGCAAGCCUGAUGGAGCAACACCGCGUGAGUGAAGAAGGUUUUCGGAUCGUAAAGCUCUGUUGUUGAAGAAGAACGUGCAUGAGAGUAACUGUUCAUGCAGUGACGGUAUUCAACCAGAAAGUCACGGCUAACUACGUGCCAGCAGCCGCGGUAAUACGUAGGUGGCAAGCGUUAUCCGGAUUUAUUGGGCGUAAAGAGAGUGCAGGCGGUUUCUUAAGUCUGAUGUGAAAGCCUUCGGCUCAACCGAAGAAGUGCAUCGGAAACUGGGAAACUUGAGUACAGAAGAGGGCAGUGGAACUCCAUGUGUAGCGGUGGAAUGCGUAGAUAUAUGGAAGAACACCAGUGGCGAAGGCGGCUGCCUGGUCUGUAACUGACGCUGAGACUCGAAAGCAUGGGUAGCGAACAGGAUUAGAUACCCUGGUAGUCCAUGCCGUAAACGAUGAGUGCUAGGUGUUGGAGGGUUUCCGCCCUUCAGUGCCGGAGCUAACGCAUUAAGCACUCCGCCUGGGGAGUACGACCGCAAGGUUGAAACUCAAAGGAAUUGACGGGGGCCCGCACAAGCGGUGGAGCAUGUGGUUUAAUUCGAAGCUACGCGAAGAACCUUACCAGGUCUUGACAUCUUGCGCCAACCCUAGAGAUAGGGCGUUUCCUUCGGGAACGCAAUGACAGGUGGUGCAUGGUCGUCGUCAGCUCGUGUCGUGAGAUGUUGGGUUAAGUCCCGCAACGAGCGCAACCCUUGUUACUAGUUGCCAGCAUUAAGUUGGGCACUCUAGUGAGACUGCCGGUGACAAACCGGAGGAAGGUGGGGACGACGUCAGAUCAUCAUGCCCCUUAUGACCUGGGCUACACACGUGCUACAAUGGACGGUACAACGAGCAGCGAACUCGCGAGGGCAAGCAAAUCUCUUAAAACCGUUCUCAGUUCGGAUUGCAGGCUGCAACUCGCCUGCAUGAAGUCGGAAUCGCUAGUAAUCGCGGAUCAGCAUGCCGCGGUGAAUACGUUCCCGGGCCUUGUACACACCGCCCGUCACACCAUGAGAGUUUGUAACACCCAAAGUCGGUGGGGUAACCUUUGGAG
This 1434-nucleotide ribosomal RNA is filed under the name uncultured methanogenic archaeon. RNAcentral describes it as "16S ribosomal RNA". It matches the Rfam family "Bacterial small subunit ribosomal RNA". The record is from RNAcentral. Lineage: Archaea; Methanobacteriati; Methanobacteriota.